UCACUGGGGCUUCCGGAGCUGUAAACAC
This 28-nucleotide non-coding RNA is filed under the name Homo sapiens (human). Lineage: Eukaryota; Metazoa; Chordata; Mammalia; Primates; Hominidae. The record is from RNAcentral.